RNAcentral lists this ribosomal RNA (499 nucleotides) under uncultured Glomeromycotina. RNAcentral describes it as "partial small subunit ribosomal RNA". It matches the Rfam family "Eukaryotic small subunit ribosomal RNA", at positions 591 to 1092 of the family's 1831-position model. The record is from RNAcentral. Lineage: Eukaryota; Fungi; Glomeromycota.
CCAAUAGCGUAUAUUAAAGUUGUUGCAGUUAAAAAGCUCGUAGUUGAAUUUCGGAAUCAAUACGUCGGUCGUGCUUCGGUACGUACUAACGUCAUUGGUUUCUCCCUUCUGACGAACCAUGAUGUCAUUAAUUUGGUGUUAUGGGAAAUCAGGACUGUUACUUUGAAAAAAUUAGAGUGUUUAAAGCAGGCUCACGCUUGAAUACAUUAGCAUGGAAUAAAGAAAUAGGACGUUCGAACCUAUUUUGUUGGUUUCUAGGAUCAACGUAAUGAUUAAUAGGGAUAGUUGGGGGCAUUAGUAUUCAAUUGUCAGAGGUGAAAUUCUUGGAUUUAUUGAAGACUAACUACUGCGAAAGCAUCUGCCAAGGAUGUUUUCAUUAAUCAAGAACGAAAGUUAGGGGAUCGAAGACGAUCAGAUACCGUCGUAGUCUUAACCAUAAACUAUGCCGACUAGGGAUCGGAUGAUGUUAAUUUUUUAAUGACUCAUUCGGCGCCUUACG